ACAAUCUGCACAACCUGAACCACAGAAUUCAGCAGGAAUUCACCCCAAAAGAAAGAGAAGGAAGUAAUGACAGCUAGGGACUUAACCAACAUAUAUACAAGCAAGAUGUCUGAAGCAGAAUUUAGAAUCAUGAUAAUAAGAAAACUAGCUGGAGU
Molecule: long non-coding RNA, 155 nt
Organism: Lynx canadensis (Canada lynx)
Lineage: Eukaryota; Metazoa; Chordata; Mammalia; Carnivora; Felidae
Exons: 2
Source: RefSeq, a predicted model, not a curated record